AAAAGGGUUAAUCAAAUAUUUUUCCAUAUAAUUAUAACUUUCAAUCUAACCAGGACCAAAGCCCAUUGAAUUAUACCCUUAGCUUGAUUGCAACUCCAUCAGGUUAAUAAUUCGGGUCAACACAAUCUCCUCCUUAUAUGUUUUUAUGAAAGAUCUCAACCAGAAGAGAGACAAAUUUAGAGUCUGUUUUAAGAAAAGUAUUAUUUACCUCUUACCAUAAUUUAAAUUUAUUUCAUUGUUUAUUCAAUUUCAUGGUAAAACAAGUAGUUAUCCGUUUAAGAACAUUGAUAAGUGCUGGAAAAAGAAUAUUAAAUUAUAGAUUAAUCAGCACUUAUCACACCCCCAAACCUAUGUUUUGC
This 359-nucleotide long non-coding RNA is filed under the name Phoenix dactylifera (date palm). RNAcentral's name for it is "long non-coding RNA (PDAC_LNC012564)". The record is from RNAcentral. Lineage: Eukaryota; Viridiplantae; Streptophyta; Magnoliopsida; Arecales; Arecaceae.